UACGUAGGGUGCGAGCGUUAAUCGGAAUUACUGGGCGUAAAGCGUGCGCAGGCGGUUAUGUAAGACAGGUGUGAAAUCCCCGGGCUUAACCUGGGAACUGCAUUUGUGACUGCAUAGCUAGAGUACGGUAGAGGGGGAUGGAAUUCCGCGUGUAGCAGUGAAAUGCGUAGAGAUGCGGAGGAACACCGAUGGCGAAGGCAGCCCCCUGGGCUAACACUGACGCUCAGGCACGAAAGCGUGGGGAGCAAACAGG
Molecule: ribosomal RNA, 253 nt
Filed under: uncultured bacterium
Lineage: Bacteria
Description: partial 16S ribosomal RNA
Rfam family: Bacterial small subunit ribosomal RNA
Source: RNAcentral